This 27-nucleotide small RNA is filed under the name Bombyx mori (domestic silkworm). RNAcentral's name for it is "ovarian small RNA-17330". Lineage: Eukaryota; Metazoa; Arthropoda; Insecta; Lepidoptera; Bombycidae. The record is from RNAcentral.
GGAUAUGCUUACUGUGGAGCCCCGAGA